GACGAACCGUGCGAACGUUGUUAGGAAUCACUGGGCUUAAAGGGCGCGUAGGCGGGUUCGCAAGUCUGUGGUGAAAGCCUCCAGCUUAACUGGAGAAGUGCCAUGGAUACUGCGCAUCUUGAGGAGGGUAGGGGCGUCUGGAACGGUCGGUGGAGCGGUGAAAUGCGUUGAUAUCGACCGGAACACCGGUGGCGAAGGCGGCUUCCUGGACCGACACUGACGCUGAGGCGCGAAAGCUAGGGGAGCAAACGGG
This 253-nucleotide ribosomal RNA is filed under the name uncultured bacterium. Its description in RNAcentral is "partial 16S ribosomal RNA". It matches the Rfam family "Bacterial small subunit ribosomal RNA", at positions 524 to 776 of the family's 1533-position model. The record is from RNAcentral.